This 3237-nucleotide long non-coding RNA is filed under the name Sus scrofa (pig). RNAcentral's name for it is "lncRNA (ENSSSCG00050053469.1)". Lineage: Eukaryota; Metazoa; Chordata; Mammalia; Artiodactyla; Suidae. The record is from RNAcentral.
GAGACAAGUGAAUGCUACUCCCCUUUCUUGCUUUUCUCCUGCUUCUCAGUCAUCCCAGUCGGACAACAUCUCCUGGGAUAAUGGCAAACAUUGGUGCUGAUGUUGGGCUCUGACUGUGAAAGAAAUGACCUCUGAGGAAAUCCUGUGGAUGGAGGAGCAGCUUUCAUGUGAGGCGGAGCAGAGGGAUCCCACGUUGAAUGCUUGUCAAAGGUCAUACGUGUCACCACUCAAGGUAAGAAGUAAUUCGUUCGUUCAUGCGGUUGACAUUUGCUGAGUGCCCAUCAUGGGCUUGAUGCUAGAGAGUCACCAUCCCCAUAUGUAAUUCAUGCCCAGUUAAAGCUGUCACAGAAUUGGAAUCCAUUCACUAGAAGGAGAAAAAGUCACUGUUCCCUGUCUCCAGGAAGCUCACUUUCUAAGAAUAAUUACUAAUCUUUAUAUCUUCACCUUGUACUUUGACUAAAGUACAAUUUAAUUGUAUCCUUACUCCCCUCCUUAUAAGAUAGAAUUAUUACCCCAUAAGUUUAUAAUUGAGGAAAAUGAGCCUUGACCGUACUCAAGAUCACACAGCUAGUAAGGUCAGAUGACUUGCUUCCCAGGGGUUUGGGGACCACAGUUCCUGCUAUCUGGAUUUUGGUGCACUUGUGAGUUUUGAUGUGGCAGAACUCAACUGAAACUAGUGUCUGAGUUUUCCAAGACCCCACUAGGAGCUGUCUGCACUCAGACUACACACCAGCCGGCUACUGCCAAGAUCCAAGAAGAGACACAAAAAGAGACCAGAAAGAUCUGAUCAAUAACCUAAUAUUAUAACUUAAGGAACUAGAAAAAGAACAAACUGAACUCAAAACUAGCAUAGGGAAGAAAAUCAUAAAGAUUAGAGCAGAGAUAAAUGAAAUAAAGAAUUGAAAAAAUAAACCAAGUGGGUAUUAAUGGUAAUUAUAUAAGUUCCCAUUGCUUUGUAAUGAACUUACCCCCACAACAUAGCAGCUUAAAGCCACAAGCAUUCAGUUUUCUGCAGAUCAGGAAUCUGGGAGUGGCUUUGCUCGGAGGUUCUGGCUCAGGGUCUCUCAUGAGGUCAUGGUCACACUGGGAGCUAGGGCAGCAGUCAUCUGAAAGCCUGACUGAGCCUCAAAUACCUGCUUCUAAGAAGGCUCACUCACAUGGCUGGUGGUAAGAGGCCUCAGCUUCUUGUUGUGUUUUAGCAGGAAGCAUCAAUUUCUCACCACUUGGGCCUCACCCCAGGGCCUCCUGAGGGUCCUUACAAAAUGGCAGCUGUCUUCCUCCAGAGCUAGUGAUCCAAGAGCAAGAAAGAAGCCACAUGCUUUCUGUAACCUAGGCUUGGAAGUCCCACAUGUUUUUACUGCCACCACAUUCGACUUGCUAGAAUCAAGUUGCUAAAUCCAGCCUCAUUUAAGAGGAGGGGAAUUAGCUUUUGGAAGCAAGACUAUCAAAGAACUUAUGGACGUAUUUUAAAAUCAUCACAGUAAUCAUUUUAAGAUUAUAGGAGUGUGUCUUUUUUUCUUUAUUAGACAAUUUUCUAUAUAUGGUAUUUAUUUUAUUUUUAUAAUGGAAAACUUUAAAAGAGAAAGUUUAUAUAAGGAGUUACAAACACAUUUCUGUACUUCAAUGCACUCAGCGAACUUAAAAAAAGAAAAAAUACCUACAGAGGUUCUGUGAUGACCUAAUGGGUUAAGAAUCCAGCAUAAUCACUGCUGUGGCUUGGGUCAUUGCUAUGACACAGGUUCCAUUUGUGGCCUGGAAACUUUUGCACACCAUAGGCAUAGCAAAACAAAACAAACAAAUAAAACAAAACAAAAAAUUCCAAAGGUCAAAUUCAACUCUCUCAAUUAUUCCUCUAGUCUUUAUCACAUCCUCUGAAAACCACAGUCACUAGACAGACAGUUCAUCCUCAAAUGUCUGCCAUACACCUCAGAGGAAGGAACACUGGGGGUGGGCAGCCUAAAGCAUAAGCCUCACACCUGCUCCCCCACAUGCUUACAUCUACUCAUCAGUAAAGGCAGACUGCACAUCAGCUCAGUUGCCCUUAAAAUUGUCUUAACUUGCACAAAAACCUUGCACAUUUAGCUGUUCUUAGUUCUUAUAAGAAAUAGCCAUAUGAAACCUGUUAGUAGAGAUUUUAUAAAUCUGUUUUCAAGGACACUGCAUUAUUAGGUCUCUCAGUGCUUUCUAUAGUAGAUCAUGAGGGAAAUAUCUUUUAGAAUGCACUGCCAUGGAAAAUUGCUCCCUGGAAGAAUGAACAUACUUAGUUCUAAAGUUUGGCCUGUUUCCUUUCUUUGUCAUGGCUACAAGGAAACUCACAGUGGUGUACCAACUUUUGCAGUUAACAUAGGCCUUUUCUUUUACAUGAUCCUGAUUUUAUAAUGUCAUCACCUUGCUUUACAUCACUCCUUUAUCCAAAGCUAUGAGAAGUAUUUUUUUUUUAGAAAUAAGCUAAAAAGCUAAUAAGCUAGUGCUUAUCAUAUGUUAAACACUGGCAAGAUAUAUGUAUAUCAUAUGUAAUAUAUAAUGUGUGUGUGGUCUCCAGUGAAAGAGAAAAUUUUCUUUUCUUUCUUAUAAAGCAACAAAAGUGCAAUUUGGAAAUGGUUAAUAGUUUUCAAUUUCUCCAAAUAAAGACCUCUGGGAUAUUCUUUUAGAGGGUGGGAGGUUGGGUUUGUGAUCAGGACAACUUGCUAUUAUCAAUACAAAGCAAGUUCUAUCCAUAGAUUUUUUUUAGGAAAAGAAAAACUGUGACAUCACCAUAAAUCUUAAUAAUAAUGCUAUAGAGUACAGGAUUUUGCUUAUUAAUUAUUAUAAUAUAAACUAAGCAAGCUCUAAUCAUACCAUCUUUGUAGAUUCCAAAGUGUGGAUUUAGAUUGGAUUUUAGAGCUCACACAUGGUAUUACUUAAGCUGGAAAAAACUUCCUUUUGAACAAUGUACUCUCAACCUUUGUGACGGCCUUGUCAGGACAAUGGAAUUCAGACUAUACCUCUGUAGGGUUAGGGAAUCCCCUGAAGGAGGUGAAAGUUUCCACCCUCAAGUAAGAAACAGCAUGGCCUUCAAAGGAGGGAGGGAAGUAGGGUUUGGUGGGUCUUUUGACAUUAGGAAGGACUUCAUAAAUAUCACUGCAGAUUGGAAGGGCGGCCAACAUUCUUAUGAAUAGUAUAUAUAAGAAACUACAGCAGAGGUGUGUCAUAGCCUGUCUGCUCUCACAUCCUGUAGAGCGCAAACUUGUAGGAAUA